AAAUAUUCCUAGACAAGGUCAGACGGAAGUGGAAGGUACUGGAGCUGUUGUUUCUCUGCAUGUGGUGAAGGAGUAUUUUGUGGAUCCAAAGUAGACAGGGCAUAAGCAGAAAAUGCAGGUGACCCCAGCAGCCGCUGAGCCGGCCUGGAUUCGGGCAAAGAAAGCAGCGUCCUCCUGGUGCAAACAGACACAGCCACAAGUGCAGGACACGCAGUCUAGAAAGUCCGGAAGCAGAUGCUGUACUUCAGAUUCUAGAAUUAGGAGAAUUUGACCAGCUUAAUAAGUGUCCAAAUAAGUGAUUUCUACUCCCACUUCCUUAACAUGCAAUUGCCGAAUAAACAAACCCACAAAGGCAAGGCAGCAAUGUGUAUUCUGAAACCAGGUUUUUAAGGCCUGAUUUGGAGUUGUCUUCCUAUUGGACCCCAGCUCUUGGGUUCAAAGUCGACGAUCAUUUGUACGAAUGCCAUGGUAUAUUUAAGUGAGUGGUUACAGCUGUUUCAGUUUCUUCCUCGCCAGUGUUUGGGGAUCGGUGAGUGGGCCAAGCCAGGACUCACCCCCUGCAAGUUCACAGAGGCCUCAAACUCUGACAAGCAGAAGUUUCCAUCUUAAAGACUGACAGCAGCUAAACAAGAACUGCCCUCAAGAUAAGCAAGAUUAAAACAAUUACAACUCACCCAGCUCACGGACGCUGAGUAACUGACCCCUGUUGCACCAGCCGUAACUACAGCUUUGAUUGGAUGGGAGACUGACUCCAGUAACUUUCUCCUGAUAAGAGACCACCGGCCAUGGACUGGUUCUGGCUGGUUUGCAGAAAGUACAUUCAUCCGCCUUCAUGUCCUGAAAAGACCUUUUGAGGUAUGGGGCCUAAUUUUAAUACAUUUAAAUGUUAAAUCUCCACCCCAAAGUGAACCUGGGUUGUAUGUUACAUGCAUGUUUGUUCAAUAUGCAUGUGUCGGGACUACCUUCAUGAAUAUUCGUAGUUCUUCCUGUAACCUGUUGAAUACGUAUGUUUGGCCACCCUGUCCAGCAUGAAGCUUCUGUCCCAGCCCCUCCUCCUUCGAAGUGCCUGACUCCGGUCUUGGCCAGAGGCACACUUCUGAGCCUGCAGGAUGGCCACCUUGCAGGCUGUAACCCUUUACAAGAAAUAAAAUCUCCUCUCCUCACAAUUUAUAAAUUUGUGAUAUUUUUGGUUAACAUUCCAAAGCAUCGUGCACAGAAUGUGAUAAACCCCUCCCACUGGAGGUUCUUAAACUGCUCCUUAGAAUCUCAGGGGCUGCCGAGGUGCCCCUAGGGCAGCAACCCAUUUUAAGUAGCGCUCCCCACCCCUCCAUCCCAUCCCCAUCUUUUCCACCAUGAUCCCCUCAAACAGGGCGCCUUCACUCUUCUGUUUGAUGUACUGGGUUUCUGCAUUAGACUUUGUUUGAAGAAGGAUUUCUUUGACUAUAAACACUUUGAAACCUCUGCCUUGGAACGCCAAAUGUUAAUGAAGGAAUUGGACUGUGCCUCACACCGUUAAUCACCGACCGGUCCGCUGUGCUGCUUCCGCCAUGUUUGCAGUCGCCUCAACAAAAACUGUUCCGAGCAUCAGCAGUGAGUUUAGGGAGCAAAUGCCUAUAGCACUGUGGUCUAAGAUGUCCAUGUCCAUAGUGAUAAGAAAUGGAGACCCAAUUGUUACAUGGUGCUGUCUACUUUGUUACAGCUGUGUGUGGAAUUAUUUUGGGCUCACCCCUGGAGCUGCCAGUUAACACUGUAAAAUUG
This 1758-nucleotide long non-coding RNA is filed under the name Homo sapiens (human). RNAcentral describes it as "HSALNT0037156". Lineage: Eukaryota; Metazoa; Chordata; Mammalia; Primates; Hominidae. The record is from RNAcentral.